GGGCAGUUUACUGCUCUCGCUAUUAGAUGAGCCUAAGUCGGAUUAGCUAGAUGGUGGGGUAAAGGCCUACCAUGGCGACGAUCUGUAGCUGGUCUGAGAGGAUGAUCAGCCACACCGGGACUGAGACACGGCCCGGACUCCUACGGGAGGCAGCAGUGGGGAAUAUUGGACAAUGGGGGGAACCCUGAUCCAGCCAUGCCGCGUGUGUGAAGAAGGCCUUUUGGUUGUAAAGCACUUUAAGCAGUGAAGAAGACCUAACGGUUAAUACCCGUUAGCGAUGACAUUAGCUGCAGAAUAAGCACCGGCUAACUCUGUGCCAGCAGCCGCGGUAAUACAGAGGGUGCAAGCGUUAAUCGGAAUUACUGGGCGUAAAGCGAGCGUAGGUGGCUUGAUAAGUCAGAUGUGAAAUCCCCGGGCUUAACCUGGGAACUGCAUCUGAUACUGUUAAGCUAGAGUAGGUGAGAGGGAAGUAGAAUUCCAGGUGUAGCGGUGAAAUGCGUAGAGAUCUGGAGGAAUACCGAUGGCGAAGGCAGCUUCCUGGCAUCAUACUGACACUGAGGCUCGAAAGCGUGGGUAGCAAACAGGAUUAGAUACCCUGGUAGUCCACGCCGUAAACGAUGUCUACUAGUCGUUGGGUCCCUUGAGGACUUAGUGACGCAGCUAACGCAAUAAGUAGACCGCCUGGGGAGUACGGCCGCAAGGUUAAAACUCAA
This 713-nucleotide ribosomal RNA is filed under the name Psychrobacter sp. 35H2. RNAcentral's name for it is "bacterial SSU rRNA". It matches the Rfam family "Bacterial small subunit ribosomal RNA", at positions 202 to 904 of the family's 1533-position model. The record is from RNAcentral. Lineage: Bacteria; Pseudomonadati; Pseudomonadota; Gammaproteobacteria; Moraxellales; Moraxellaceae.